GUGAAGGUGGCUCAGUGGUAGAGCUCUUGCCUUGCAUGCAUGAGGCCCUGGGUUCAAUUCCUAAGCACCACA
This 72-nucleotide transfer RNA is filed under the name Dipodomys ordii (Ord's kangaroo rat). It matches the Rfam family "tRNA". Rfam says of the family: Transfer RNA (tRNA) molecules are approximately 80 nucleotides in length. Their secondary structure includes four short double-helical elements and three loops (D, anti-codon, and T loops). The record is from Rfam by way of RNAcentral. Lineage: Eukaryota; Metazoa; Chordata; Mammalia; Rodentia; Heteromyidae.